Ribosomal RNA from Lepisosteus oculatus (spotted gar), 116 nucleotides. The record is from Rfam. NCBI's taxonomy places the organism in Eukaryota, Metazoa, Chordata, Actinopteri, Semionotiformes, Lepisosteidae.
AAUAGCAGCCAUAUCACCCUGCAACUCACAACUGGCAACCCACUGAAGCUAAGCAGGUGUGAGCCUGGUCAGUACCUGGAUGGGAGACCUGGGAAAAACUAAGGUUGCUGCUGGAA